RNAcentral lists this long non-coding RNA (357 nucleotides) under Setaria italica (foxtail millet). RNAcentral describes it as "long non-coding RNA (SITA_LNC005905)". Lineage: Eukaryota; Viridiplantae; Streptophyta; Magnoliopsida; Poales; Poaceae. The record is from RNAcentral.
CGCGAAGGGUGACCUGCGUGGUUGAGACGGGGGCCGCGCAAACCCUGUGCUCGACCAUGGCCUGCAUCACAGCUGCACAGGCGUGGGGAUCAUGGAGAGCAGGCCAUGAUGCUGCCACCGGCGCGCGAAGAAGCUCUCGAAUGCCGGUGCGUGGAGGAUCUGUGAUGCCAGCGUAGAGAGGUCGUAGAGCGGGGAGUAGGGGCCAGGCUGUCGGAGCUUGCGAACGCCGGAGCGUGGUUUUGAUUGGACGGCAGCAGGCUCGAUUUGGCUUUCAAGGACUUCUUCCGAUUCGGUUGAGGUGCGGCACAAGCAAGGCAGGCUCUGGUGGAGAGAAAGGGGAGCGAUGGGGUGCGAUUG